AACCCCCUGAGCUGCAGGCUAUGGGAAACAUCGGCACAGGUAGGCGAGCAGCCCCAGCACCACCUGGAGAGAAAGGCGCCACCAGGACCAGAGCUGGAGGCUUGUCUGUGUCACUACACAUCCUGGACAUCUGCAGAGCCAGCUCUGGUCCACGUGACAAUCCUCCGACCGCUGCCAGCAGAGACCCCUCUGUCCCUGGAGCCACACUCUCAGCUGAGACCCUCCAUCUACCAACGAGGCCCGUGUCGAUCUUCAGGCCACACUUACCCCCAGAUGGCCAGCAGUCUCCAUCUGGAUUUCCAGCAGCCAGUGUCAGGCCAGAGGCUCCAACACGCCCGACACAGAGCCCUGGUGCUCCGCCACCUGCUGCCAUCCUAGGUGCUGGCAGCUGCCUCCCUCCAGUGGAUCGGUUGAUGCAGAGCUCUAGACCCUUCUCUUUCCAUCACUGUGUACAAGAGAUUUGUCAGCCGAUCCUACCAGCUCUGCCUCCAAAACACAACCAGAAUCCAGCCACAUUUUAUCACGCCACCCCCGCCCACUCUCGCAGAGGCUGA
RNAcentral lists this long non-coding RNA (554 nucleotides) under Capra hircus (goat). RNAcentral's name for it is "lncRNA (ENSCHIG00010028296.1)". The record is from RNAcentral. Lineage: Eukaryota; Metazoa; Chordata; Mammalia; Artiodactyla; Bovidae.